This 89-nucleotide microRNA precursor is filed under the name Helianthus annuus (common sunflower). RNAcentral's name for it is "sRNA HanXRQr2_Chr12g0524971". It matches the Rfam family "mir-156 microRNA precursor family". Rfam says of the family: This family represents the plant microRNA (miRNA) precursor mir-156. Animal miRNAs are transcribed as ~70nt precursors and subsequently processed by the Dicer enzyme to give a ~22nt product. In plants the precursor sequences may be longer, and the carpel factory (caf) enzyme appears to be involved in processing. RNAcentral also lists the same sequence under 1 other name. The record is from Rfam by way of RNAcentral. Lineage: Eukaryota; Viridiplantae; Streptophyta; Magnoliopsida; Asterales; Asteraceae.
CUGACAGAAGAGAGUGAGCAUAUGCAACCAAUUGUAUAGAUUGUAUACAUUUGUUGGGAUUCUGCAUGUGCUCACUUCUCUUCUGUCAG